Non-coding RNA from Pelobates cultripes (western spadefoot toad), 1710 nucleotides. Lineage: Eukaryota; Metazoa; Chordata; Amphibia; Anura; Pelobatidae. The record is from the annotation of a GenBank genome assembly.
CUGCAUAGUUUAUUUUUAAAUAAAUACACAUUUGUAAGUACAGACUCAUUAAAUAAAUACAAAAAUGACUACCAUUAACAAUCACAAUCGCAUGGUACAGCUGUUAAACAAAACAUAAUAAUGAAUCUACCUUGAAAAGCAGCAUCAAAUGACCAUAGUAAGAUUAUUAGAACUGGGUUAUAUAUAUUGUCAGUUCAGCAUGUGACACGUGUAAGCUAGCACACAACCACAAAUUCAAAAGAUUGUCAGGCCCACACCAUGAUUACGAACAAAAGAAUUUAAACAAAUCAUCUAUAGCAGUGUUUUCCAAACUUCAAGGCACAUCUACCUGUCCAGGAUUUAAGGAUUAACCAGUUGUGUCAAGGAUUUUUUUUCUUUCUAAACACACCUUAGACACAACUGGGUAAUUCCUAAAUCCUGUACUGAUAGCAGUGCCUUGAGGACUGGAUCUAUAGCAUAGAAAAGGAAAAUUCUAAGAAAACUAAAUGUAUUUCAAUUACCAUCAAAUUCUAUUUAUUAUAUGGUAUUGUUUGGUGACCACUAGCAUUUAUCUGUCGUUCAUCUGUGAGCCAUCUUCAGCUGUCUCAAUGUCAUAUAUAACAGAAAAUUAACUUAAAUGCAAGAGUUAAUGUUCCUCCCACCACUUACAAUGAAUAGAGCAAGAAAGAAAUUAAACUACUAAGUAGACCCGAUAAAUACCCCUCCGACCAUGUAACCCUUAGUUUGGUACAAAGCCACCAAUGCAGGGCAGGUAAUCAGUGCUGCCGUAGCCCAUUAUGGGUAAAAGAAAAAUAUCGGUAUGCAAGAGUUAAGUUUCCAUUUUCUCGGCCAUGGAAAUGUGAACGGUUUCUUCAUUUUUUGUUUUAUUCAUAUCUAACCAUUUUCUGAUGUAUGAGGUCAUUAAAUUAACAUUUUUGAUGUACCAAACAAUCACUAUAUUGUAAGGUCUUCAAAUUGUCUGUAUUAUGUGCCAGGGCUGAUCACGGGAGGAGAGCCCAGAGACAUGAGCAGCCGGAGGCAGAGGGGCCUACUCGAGGCGGAACGGCGAUGAAGAAGCAUAUGCAAUCAAGGACUAGCCCACCUAGGCUGCAUCAUCCACCAGGACAACAUCCCAAUCCUCUGACCCUCCAGAGCAGGGGAUAGACUUGGACUCUAACAGUACCCAAGUCCGUGGCACACUGAUGCCAGCUCUCGUCUGGGGCUGGAGGGGCACCCGAUUCUGGCGCAAAAGUCCUCUCAGGCAGUGUGCCAGCCGAGCCGCUUGUGGGAAUCAGCUGAUAUUGCAUGAGGGCCUACCGCCAUCUUCCCAUUCAGCAACAGCGCAUGGCUUCUAAACGGACUUACAUUGAAGCAACGCUUUUUUUAAUGUUAAGCUUUAUUUUUUUUAUUGUGGUACAGGGCAUGGAAGUUACAUUUUAUGCCCGAGGUUUUCUUUUUAGAACCUUGCAUGUUUCAUCGCAGUUAAUUAACUCUAGCUAUGUAUUACCUAGUCUACAAAGGCUUCAGCUCAAUAGGUACGAAGCGUCUAGCUAUGUGUCUAGCCUUGACUAUCUAAGGUUAUUCUUCUCUCUCAAUAUACCUAGAUAAGCAUCUUAGUCCCAAGUAUUUGGGAAAGCUCUUUCUUUUAGUCUCACCAUAGCUCAGGGCCAGAGCUUCCUAUAAGGCGAACUAGGCAGCCGCCUAGGGCGCCAUAUAGGAGGGGGCGCCCUG